Molecule: ribosomal RNA, 1372 nt
Filed under: uncultured bacterium
Lineage: Bacteria
Description: bacterial SSU rRNA
Rfam family: Bacterial small subunit ribosomal RNA
Source: RNAcentral
GAUGAACGCUGGCGGCGUGCCUAAUACAUGCAAGUCGAGCGAACGGACGAGAAGCUUGCUUCUCUGAUGUUAGCGGCGGACGGGUGAGUAACACGCGGAUAACCUACCUAUAAGACUGGGAUAACUUCGGGAAACCGGAGCUAAUACCGGAUAAUAUUUUGAACCGCAUGGUUCAAAAGUGAAAGACGGUCUUGCUGUCACUUAUAGGUGGAUCCGCGCUGCAUUAGCUAGUUGGUAAGGUAACGGCUUACCAAGGCAACGAUGCAUAGCCGACCUGAGAGGGUGAUCGGCCACACUGGAACUGAGACACGGUCCAGACUCCUACGGGAGGCAGCAGUAGGGAAUCUUCCGCAAUGGGCGAAAGCCUGACGGAGCAACGCCGCGUGAGUGAUGAAGGUCUUCGGAUCGUAAAACUCUGUUAUUAGGGAAGAACAUAUGUGUAAGUAACUGUGCACAUCUUGACGGUACCUAAUCAGAAAGCCACGGCUAACUACGUGCCAGCAGCCGCGGUAAUACGUAGGUGGCAAGCGUUAUCCGGAAUUAUUGGGCGUAAAGCGCGCGUAGGCGGUUUUUUAAGUCUGAUGUGAAAGCCCACGGCUCAACCGUGGAGGGUCAUUGGAAACUGGAAAACUUGAGUGCAGAAGAGGAAAGUGGAAUUCCAUGUGUAGCGGUGAAAUGCGCAGAGAUAUGGAGGAACACCAGUGGCGAAGGCGACUUUCUGGUCUGUAACUGACGCUGAUGUGCGAAAGCGUGGGGAUCAAACAGGAUUAGAUACCCUGGUAGUCCACGCCGUAAACGAUGAGUGCUAAGUGUUAGGGGGUUUCCGCCCCUUAGUGCUGCAGCUAACGCAUUAAGCACUCCGCCUGGGGAGUACGACCGCAAGGUUGAAACUCAAAGGAAUUGACGGGGACCCGCACAAGCGGUGGAGCAUGUGGUUUAAUUCGAAGCAACGCGAAGAACCUUACCAAAUCUUGACAUCCUUUGACAACUCUAGAGAUAGAGCUUUCCCCUUCGGGGGACAAAGUGACAGGUGGUGCAUGGUUGUCGUCAGCUCGUGUCGUGAGAUGUUGGGUUAAGUCCCGCAACGAGCGCAACCCUUAAGCUUAGUUGCCAUCAUUAAGUUGGGCACUCUAAGUUGACUGCCGGUGACAAACCGGAGGAAGGUGGGGAUGACGUCAAAUCAUCAUGCCCCUUAUGAUUUGGGCUACACACGUGCUACAAUGGACAAUACAAAGGGCAGCGAAACCGCGAGGUCAAGCAAAUCCCAUAAAGUUGUUCUCAGUUCGGAUUGUAGUCUGCAACUCGACUACAUGAAGCUGGAAUCGCUAGUAAUCGUAGAUCAGCAUGCUACGGUGAAUACGUUCCCGGGUCU